Molecule: unclassified non-coding RNA, 300 nt
Filed under: uncultured fungus
Lineage: Eukaryota; Fungi
Description: sequence contains 5.8S rRNA gene, ITS2
Rfam family: 5.8S ribosomal RNA (bases 1-71)
Source: RNAcentral
GUGAAUCAUCGAAUCUUUGAACGCACAUUGCGCCUUAGGCUUUGGCCAAGGGCAUGUCUGCCUCAGCAUCGGGUUAAUAUCGCUCCCCUAUACCCAUUCGGGUAAAGAGAGGCGGAUCUGGCUGUUCCAGCUAUGCAGUCCGAAUCGCAUUCGUGUGAUUCGGGCAUCUAUGCACCUGGAUCAGCUGAAGACCAGAGGCUAACCAAGGACCCGUUAAGGGCCGCAACUGGGUGGGCUGUCAAAGGCUAUAUUCUUAGUUGUUGGUCUGGGACUUUGUGUUCGGCCCUCAAACAGGAACCU